CCAAGGGGAAGCCAGCAGGUCAAUGCAACCCGGGGCAGUCACUUUCUCCGUUUGCCCCGAGAAGUGUUAGGUCCCGGGAACUACGCUUCCCGGCAGGCUGCGCGCCGCAAAGUGACGCACUUCCUCCAGACGCACUUCAGUCUUUCGGCGCCGCCAACCGUUAGGAGAUCGCACCUCUAUCCGCUUGUGACCUGCAUCGCCGCUGCUGACUCAGUCGACGCUGCCUCGCGGAUAGUGUCAGCUGAGUUGCAGAUGUGGGCGCCGCGGGAGCAUCGCCUAGGCUCGGCUGCAGACGAUAAAGAAGAUUCUAAUGGUUUUAGAAGGCAUUUUAUAUUUGCAAUUUUGACGGAUACUGAACUGCUAUGAAGAUGGUAGUUUGUUCCCACCAAUUAUUAAAAAGCUGUGGCUCUACUUUGUGUCCUUUUAGUCCACGACCAAGGGUGAAAAGCAGACCCUAUGUGGG
This is a long non-coding RNA of Rhinolophus ferrumequinum (greater horseshoe bat), 463 nucleotides long. RefSeq lists it as uncharacterized. The record is from RefSeq and is a predicted model, not a curated record. The transcript is spliced from 3 exons. Lineage: Eukaryota; Metazoa; Chordata; Mammalia; Chiroptera; Rhinolophidae.